This 1006-nucleotide long non-coding RNA is filed under the name Marmota monax (woodchuck). The record is from RNAcentral. Lineage: Eukaryota; Metazoa; Chordata; Mammalia; Rodentia; Sciuridae.
AAUACAUUUUAAAUACAUUAUGGGCAUGUGACUUAGUGGUCAAGUGCCUCUGAGUUCAAUCCCCAGUACCAAGGGGGCGGGGGGGGGAACACCAGGGCAGGUGUUUGUCCUGGGCCUUUGUGUUGUGGAAAGAGCAGGCCUGGGCCUCAGGCCACCAAGUCCAAACCUGCCCUUCCUAGCUGUGUGCCUUGAGCAAUUUGACCUUUCCAAACCACUUGAAAUGCAGCUUUUGGGUUUAGAGACCUGCAGCAGGGAGAAAUCCACACACCCAACAAAUAGCAGCACUAGAGUCAGGCCCAGGAAUUCUGGAGGGGUCUGUCUGUCCCUCUGUUCUCUGACGGUUCGACCAAGUAAGGAGAUGGUGGAUUCAAGGCAGGGACAUCACCACCCGUGCUGGAGUUCACAGAGCAGGUCAGUGACUGACCUCAGGUUUCCAUUGCUAACCAGUGACCUUGGAGCUCUCCAUUCAGCGUAGACACACCAGGGCUUGGGCCCCGGAAGUUUGGCAUUCACAAGGCCAGCGGCUCCUGGAAUCCUCCCCGCAGGGCCAAUGUUGGUCCAGAAAUUGAGCCCUACACCGCAUCCCACCUCCCCUGCAGGGAAGUGGCACUGUCCCCACGGUAUCAGUGUCCUUCAGCUGCUGUGACAACUACCGCUUUUGGUGACUCUGAACAGCAUGCAUUUGUUCUCUUAUAAAGACAGGCAGGUCAAAAGUCCAAAGUCAGGACCACUGGGUGGGUUCUCUGCAGGGAGAAGCAUCUGGCUUCUGGCUGCCCAUGGCCGCCAGCACCCCUUAGCGCCUGAGUCUAUCCUUCAUCUUCAAAGGGUUCUGUUCCACCUGCUUCCCUCAGCCCAGCCCCUCUCCUCUUCUGCAUCAAAUGUCCCUCUGACUCUCUCUUAAAAGGACACUGAUGACAAUGGCCCACCUGGAUACUCCAGGACCUUUUCCCCAACUUAGGACUUGAACUUCACCACAUCUGCAACUGCUGGCUGAGGUGCUGCUCCC